GACGAACGCUGGCGGCGUGCUUAACACAUGCAAGUCGAACGGAAAGGCCCUGCUUUUGUGGGGUGCUCGAGUGGCGAACGGGUGAGUAACACGCGAGUAACCUGCCCUUGACUUUGGGAUAACUUCAGGAAACUGGGGCUAAUACCGGAUAGGAGCUCCUGCUGCAUGGUGGGGGUUGGAAAGUUUCGGCGGUUGGGGAUGGACUCGCGGCUUAUCAGCUUGUUGGUGGGGUAGUGGCUUACCAAGGCUUUGACGGGUAGCCGGCCUGAGAGGGUGACCGGCCACAUUGUGCCUGAGAUACGGCCCAGACUCCUACGGGAGGCAGCAGUGGGGAAUAUUGCACAAUGGGCGGAAGCCUGAUGCAGCAUCGCCGCGUGCGGGAUGACGGCCUUCGGGUUGUAAACCGCUUUCGCCUGUGACGAAGCGUGAGUGACGGUAAUGGGUAAAGAAGCACCGGCUAACUACGUG
Molecule: ribosomal RNA, 468 nt
Filed under: uncultured bacterium
Lineage: Bacteria
Description: partial 16S ribosomal RNA
Rfam family: Bacterial small subunit ribosomal RNA
Source: RNAcentral